CGGGGUGUAGCGCAGUCCGGUAGCGCUCCUGGUUUGGGACCAGGAGGUCGCAGGUUCGAAUCCUGUCGCCCCGA
RNAcentral lists this transfer RNA (74 nucleotides) under Prevotella sp. Its description in RNAcentral is "tRNA-Pro". It matches the Rfam family "tRNA". From Rfam's summary of the family: Transfer RNA (tRNA) molecules are approximately 80 nucleotides in length. Their secondary structure includes four short double-helical elements and three loops (D, anti-codon, and T loops). Further hydrogen bonds mediate the characteristic L-shaped molecular structure. tRNAs have two regions of fundamental functional importance: the anti-codon, which is responsible for specific mRNA codon recognition, and the 3' end, to which the tRNAs corresponding amino acid is attached (by aminoacyl-tRNA synthetases). tRNAs cope with the degeneracy of the genetic code in two manners: having more than one tRNA (with a specific anti-codon) for a particular amino acid; and 'wobble' base-pairing, i.e. permitting non-standard base-pairing at the 3rd anti-codon position. Lineage: Bacteria; Pseudomonadati; Bacteroidota; Bacteroidia; Bacteroidales; Prevotellaceae. The record is from RNAcentral. RNAcentral also lists the same sequence under 3 other names.